AUUGGACGCUGGCGGAAUGCUUUACACAUGCAAGUCGAGCGGCAGCGCGGCCUUCGGGCUGGCGGCGAGCGGCGAACGGGUGAGUAAUGCAUCGGAACAUGCCCAGUCGUGGGGGAUAACACUUCGAAAGAAGUGCUAAUACCGCAUACGUCCUGAGGGGGAAAGCGGGGGAUCGCAAGACCUCGCGCGAUUGGAGUGGCCGAUGUCAGAUUAGCUAGUUGGUGGGGUAAAGGCCUACCAAGGCGACGAUCUGUAGCUGGUCUGAGAGGAUGAUCAGCCACACUGGGACUGAGACACGGCCCAGACUCCUACGGGAGGCAGCAGUGGGGAAUUUUGGACAAUGGGGGCAACCCUGAUCCAGCCAUUCCGCGUGAGUGAAGAAGGCCUUCGGGUUGUAAAGCUCUUUCGGCAGGAACGAAACGGUGGGCUCUAACAUAGUCCGCUAAUGACGGUACCUGAAGAAGAAGCACCGGCUAACUACGUG
This 484-nucleotide ribosomal RNA is filed under the name uncultured bacterium. RNAcentral describes it as "partial 16S ribosomal RNA". It matches the Rfam family "Bacterial small subunit ribosomal RNA", at positions 29 to 507 of the family's 1533-position model. The record is from RNAcentral.